RNAcentral lists this unclassified non-coding RNA (361 nucleotides) under soil metagenome. RNAcentral's name for it is "partial contains 5.8S ribosomal RNA, internal transcribed spacer 2, and large subunit ribosomal RNA". The stretch from base 1 to 120 matches the Rfam family "5.8S ribosomal RNA", at positions 35 to 154 of the family's 154-position model. The record is from RNAcentral.
GAUGAAGAACGUAGCGAAAUGCGAUAAGUAAUGUGAAUUGCAGAAUUCAGUGAAUCAUCGAAUCUUUGAACGCACCUUGCGCUCCUUGGUAUUCCGAGGAGCAUGCCUGUUUGAGUGUCAUUAAUAUAUCAACCUUCUCUUUUUUGAGUUGUUUGGAUGUGGGGGUUUGCUGGCCUCUUAAAUGAUUCAGCUCCCCUGAAAUGCAUUAGCAGAACAACCUGUUCAUUAGCGUGAUAAUUAUCUAUGCUAUUGAAUGUGAGGGCAGUUCAGCUUUCUAACCGUCCUUGGACAAUUCAUCAUUAAUGUGACCUCAAAUCAGGUAGGACUACCCGCUGAACUUAAGCAUAUCAAUAAGCGGAGA